Long non-coding RNA from Quercus robur (English oak), 916 nucleotides. RefSeq lists it as uncharacterized. The transcript is spliced from 4 exons. Lineage: Eukaryota; Viridiplantae; Streptophyta; Magnoliopsida; Fagales; Fagaceae. The record is from RefSeq and is a predicted model, not a curated record.
AUUUAGAAUCUCUUCCAGAGAAGUGUUUACGAAACCUCGUUUCUCUCCGAAAACUCUUCAUUUACAACUGUAAUGGACUCAGGUCUCUCCCUUGUAAAGGUAUUCAACAUCUCACCUCACUUCAAGAGAUGGAAAUCAUGUACUGCAAUGAGCUUGCGCUACUAAACGAUGAAGAUGAUGGCAUGCAAUGGCAAGGCCUUAGGAGCCUCCGUUUUCUUCAUUUAGAGAGAAUUCCAAAAUUUGUGUCUCUGCCAGAUGGGCUUCAACAUGUUACCACUCUAAAAUAUCUCAAAAUUAUUAAUUGUCCUAAUUUGAUGGCUUUACCAGUAUGGAUAGGCAACCUCACAUCACUAACAAAACUUGAAAUUGACAAAUGUCCGGAAUUAGCAUCACUACCUCAAGGGAUUCACAAGCUCACUGUCUUACAAGAAAUAAUAAUUACUGAGUGUCCCCUCUUACAACAAAGAUGCCAGAGGCAAACAGGAGAAGAUUGGCCCAACAUUGCUCAUGUCCCAUAUGUGUAUGUGGAUAAUAAAGCAACACAAAGCUUCUUAAGGAACUUUUUAUUUUCAAAUGGUUGAAUCUUUUGGACCUAGUUGCACCUUCUACUGCUGCAGCCUCUACCUCAUCUCCAAAUACAUCAGAGAGGGAGCCAGCACACACUGAGUAUGGAGGAUUGUGUGAUGGUGGAUGAAGUGUAUAAAGUUUUUAGGCCAAAGAGAAGCAGUUCGAUUAAAUGUCCCAAAAGUGGAGUAAUUUGCUGCAAAGUGAUGCAGAGGGAUAAAAGCCAUAAUAUGGCUGUGAAGUUCACCAUUGGAUGGCCAUCAAAAGGAAAUUAUACAACAUUAAGUAUACAUAGAGCAAUUUUGUAUUAAACAUUAAGUAUACAUAUAUCGCAAAUUUUCUAUUAAGUCUA